GCCUGGUGUGUCACACUCAUCUGUUUC
RNAcentral lists this non-coding RNA (27 nucleotides) under Mus musculus (house mouse). The record is from RNAcentral. Lineage: Eukaryota; Metazoa; Chordata; Mammalia; Rodentia; Muridae.